Molecule: non-coding RNA, 408 nt
Organism: Rattus norvegicus (Norway rat)
Lineage: Eukaryota; Metazoa; Chordata; Mammalia; Rodentia; Muridae
Source: RefSeq, a predicted model, not a curated record
CUUGUGACAUCACAGGAGAAGCUAGGGCUCUCCAGGAUACAAGAGAUUUUUCAUGGAGGGCCUAAUGAUGAAUGUCUCUGAGAACUGCCAUGGCCUACCUGUAAACAGCUUUCUUUACAUUGACCAGUUUCAAGAGUGCCUUUCCAGGUCUCCAGUCUUUCCAAUUCUCCUCCAAAUGUGUUGGAGAAGACCCCUCUGGUCGAGGGGAGGUACAACAAGCCCCAUCAAACAAAAUGGUCUGCACAUCUUCUUCUCUUAAAGGACCUUUUCUUCUUGCGAAAAAGUGUAAAGGUCAUGAGUUCUCAGGAAAACAACUGUGCCCUUCACAACACUUGGCUUUUGGAAUAAAGAAAUAAAUGAUAUAAACCCUUUGACUUCCAGGAACCAUAAGAACAGGGAAGUCUACAA